AGAGUUUGAUCCUGGCUCAGGACGAACGCUGGCGGCGCGCCUAAUGCAUGCAAGUCGAACGGUCUUUCCCGCAAGGGGAGGACAGUGGCGAACGGCUGAGUAACGUGUAAGCAACCUACCCCUGGGUGGGGAAUAACUUGCCGAAAGGCGGGCUAAUACCGCAUAUGCUGUCGUGCCGCAGGGGACGAUAGCAAAGGCAUCUCGCAAGAGGUGUUGCCCGGGGAUGGGCUUGCGUCCUAUCAGGUAGUUGGUAGGGUAACGGCCCACCAAGCCGACGACGGGUAGCUGGUCUGAGAGGACGGCCAGCCAGAGGGGGACUGAGACAUGGCCCCCACUCCUACGGGAGGCAGCAGCAGGGAAUCUUGCGCAAUGGGCGAAAGCCUGACGCAGCGACGCCGCGUGGGGGAAGAAGGCCUUCGGGUUGUAAACCCCUUUUCUGGGGGAAGAGUAAGGACGGUACCCCAGGAAUAAGCCUCGGCUAACUACGUGCCAGCAGCCGCGGUAAUACGUAGGAGGCUAGCGUUGUUCGGAUUUACUGGGCGUAAAGGGCGUGUAGGCGGCUUGGAAAGUCCCUUGUGAAAUCUCCCGGCUCAACCGGGAGCGGUCGAGGGAUACUUCCAGGCUAGAGGGCAGUAGAGGAGAGCGGAAUUCCCGGUGUAGUGGUGAAAUGCGUAGAUAUCGGGAGGAACACCCGUGGCGAAAGCGGCUCUCUGGGCUGUACCUGACGCUGAGGCGCGAAAGCGUGGGUAGCAAACCGGAUUAGAUACCCGGGUAGUCCACGCCCUAAACAAUGGAUGCCAGGUAUGGGGGGUAUCGACCCCCCCUGUGCCGAAGCUAACGCGUUAAGCAUCCCGCCUGGGGACUACGGCCGCAAGGCUAAAACUCAAAGGAAUUGACGGGGGCCCGCACAAGCAGCGGAGCGUGUGGUUUAAUUCGAUGCUAAGCGAAGAACCUUACCAGGGAUUGACAUGCUCGUGGUACCGAACUGAAAAGAGAGGGACCCUUCGGGGAGCGAGCACAGGUGCUGCAUGGCUGUCGUCAGCUCGUGCCGUGAGGUGUUGGGUUAAGUCCCCCAACGAGCGCAACCCUCGUGGCUAGUUGCACUAUCUAGCCAGACCGCCCCACAAAAAGGGGAGGAAGGUGGGGAUGACGUCAAGUCAGCACGGCUCUUACACUCUGGGCUACACACACGCUACAAUGGCCGGGACAACGGGUCGCGAAAGCGCAAGCUGGAGCCAAUCCCUAAAAGCCGGCCUCAGUUGGGAUCGCAGGCUGCAACCCGCCUGCAUGAACGUGGAGUUGCUAGUAACCGCAGGUCAGCAUACUGCGGUGAAUACGUUCCCGGGCCUUGUACACACCGCCCGUCACGUCAUGGGAGUUGGAAACACCUGAAGUCCGUGGGCUAACCCGCAAGGGAGGCAGCGGCCGAGGGUGGAGCCAAUGACUGGGACGAAGUCGUAACAAGGUA
RNAcentral lists this ribosomal RNA (1468 nucleotides) under metagenome. Its description in RNAcentral is "bacterial SSU rRNA". It matches the Rfam family "Bacterial small subunit ribosomal RNA". The record is from RNAcentral.